UAGGGAAUCUUCCACAAUGGACGCAAGUCUGAUGGAGCAACGCCGCGUGAGUGAAGAAGGUUUUCGGACCGUAAAGCUCUGUUGUUGGUGAAGAAGGAUAGAGGUAGUAACUGGCCUUUAUUUGACGGUAAUCAACCAGAAAGUCACGGCUAACUACGUGCCAGCAGCCGCGGUAAUACGUAGGUGGCAAGCGUUGUCCGGAUUUAUUGGGCGUAAAGCGAGCGCAGGCGGAAGAAUAAGUCUGAUGUGAAAGCCCUCGGCUUAACCGAGGAAUUGCAUCGGAAACUGUUUUCUUGAGUGCAGAAGAGGAGAGUAGAACUCCAUGUGUAGCGGUGGAAUGCGUAGAUAUAUGGAAGAAUACCAGUGGCGAAGGCGGCUCUCUGGUCUGCAACUGACGCUGAGGCUCGAAAGCAUGGGUAGCGAACAGGAUUAGAUACCCUGGUAGUCCAUGCCGUAAACGAUGAGUGCUAAGUGUUGGGAGGCUUCCGCCUCUCAGUGCUGCAGCUAACGCAUUAAGCACUCCGCCUGGGGGAGUACGACCGCAAGGUUGAAACUUAA
RNAcentral lists this ribosomal RNA (558 nucleotides) under uncultured bacterium. RNAcentral describes it as "partial 16S ribosomal RNA". It matches the Rfam family "Bacterial small subunit ribosomal RNA", at positions 355 to 904 of the family's 1533-position model. The record is from RNAcentral.